Molecule: non-coding RNA, 457 nt
Organism: Camelina sativa (false flax)
Lineage: Eukaryota; Viridiplantae; Streptophyta; Magnoliopsida; Brassicales; Brassicaceae
Source: RefSeq, a predicted model, not a curated record
UUCUUCUUCUUCUUCUUCUUCUUCUUCUCUUUUCUUCACUCGAAUUCCUUUUAUUUACUCAUAGUUCCUAUUAUUAUUAUUAUUGUUAAUCCAGGUUUGAUUGUGCUGUAGUAUUGAUCGAUCGGCGAUUGAGGAAGAGGGUACUAAGAUCCCUCCCUAAUGGUUUGAUUGAGGAGGAGGGUCUUCUUUUGGAAUUACUCCUGACCAGCAAGCUUUGUCAAAGGAUGGAUCACAACUAGCAGCAAUAUGAAGGGACGGCCUCAAGGAUUGUCAAAUUUGCUGUAGACUAGCCGACAAAGGCAUCAGUGCGAGACCUUUUGUGGUUUCUGGAGUUGAAAAACCAACCACCAUCAAUACGGAGGGACGGCCUCAAGGAUUGUCAUGUUUGCUCAAGACUACCAGAGAAAGGCAUCAGUGGAGAUGGUGAUGACUUGCUAAACCGCCAGACCAUCUAUGA